RNAcentral lists this long non-coding RNA (4953 nucleotides) under Homo sapiens (human). RNAcentral's name for it is "HSALNT0358591". Lineage: Eukaryota; Metazoa; Chordata; Mammalia; Primates; Hominidae. The record is from RNAcentral.
AGAACCUACAUUCGAACCAAGAUGUCAGGCACUUCUGAUGCUGCUGGGCUUGGAAGCCUACUUUGGGGACCACAGCUCCUGACUACCCUAGUAUGGCUCGGUGACUGCUGAAAUGAGACAUGGAUCUUCACCCCCAGCUCUCUCCUGGCCUCUCCCUUCACCCAAGGACAGAACCACCUGCUUGUUUCAAUAUUGGACAUUGGUGGAGGGGUGAGGAAAAGAGGAGGGCAGGGAGAUCGUCCCACAUCUGAGGCUCUAGUGUUUCCUUUUGAGUCAAGCCUCCCAGGAUGUUUCUGAACUGGUCCCUGGCCACCACGUGGGGACCUGGAAGAUAGCUCCCUGCUCCUCAGUCCUGGGGGCCCAAGUUCCACAGCCCCUUGGUAGACCCUGGAGAGGAGAAAUCAACGUGAAAAAGGCUGGGAGGCAGGGGGGCCCUCCAGUCACAGUGGUUAACUGCAUCAGUAAUUCAUAGCACAAGAGAUGAGAGGUUAAGUAGCUGGCCCAGGAAGACACAGUGUGAAUUUAAAUCCAGCUGUCUGAUGCCAAAAAGGGACACGUACCCAUCCUGCUGUCCUCCCGGGAACAGUGUGAGCAGCAGACGGGAGAAUGCAUGUGCAAGGAUUAUUGGCUGCUGCAAAGUGCCCACGAAAGGUUUAUUAACAUGAAGAGCACUCAAUUCAUGCCACUUCUGGGUACUGCUUGUACCAUCACGACCCUUCUUCCAGGGCCCUGUGCCUAUGGAGGGCAGUUCCAUCAAGGACAGAGAAACACAGUUCCUUUCUCUGCCAAGAACCUGCCCGGAACCAUAAAUUCACCCUUCGUGGAGCAGAGUAUCACAUUGGAAAUGAGCGUGGCCAAGCUGACGGGCUGUGAAGCCCUCCUGCUAAGAACCACGGUUCUCUAUGCAGAUGCUGCUAAAGGAAGAUUUGGCUUCCUCCCUCGCCAUGCGUAUCCUUGGAGUCCUUAGCACGCUCUGCCCAGCGGUCUCCAGCACUAAGAGGCUGAGCUCUGCCGGGCCUGACGCACCUGAGUGGGAGGUAGGGUUCUGACAGGGAACAGGAGAGAUCAGGUUAGCACAAAACCAUCUCCGCUAGCCCUUUUGGGACCAGAGUAGGGGCUGGGAAGCCCCUCUCAUCCCUGGAAGCUGGAUGUUCUGCCCAGCACCCUGGAACCAUGGGAUAGUCCCAGGAUGCUUGACCCCCAGAGGGCUGUGAGAGAAGGAAGGGCCUCAUGCCUCACAGCCCCUUUGUCCUCAAAUUUUCCUGGUCAACAUCAGAAGGCCAUUUCCCCUGAGCCUUCAUUGAUGGACUGCGCUCUGAGUUACUCAUUCCAUCUGCCAGGAGCCCCACCCCACCCUCUCCCUGGCCACUCCAUUGCCCCAUCUCCUCUCGUCUGUUGAAACUGACCCAGCAGCCCCACAUGCUGCUGUCCUCAACUGGGCACAAUGCAGAAGGGCUCCUUCUCUCCUACCAAAGGGUGGGGGCAGGGGGAAGCCUUCUGGACCAGAAGCUAUGAAGCCAGGCACAGGCUGUGUGCCCUGGGCCAGUCACCUAACCUCUCUGAGAAGAGUCCCUAUCUGGGAGACGAGAGGGGGUGGUGAGUUAAAUCCACAGUUUUCUGUACCUUGAGGCCCAGCAUUGUGAGGUGCCCCAGGGGGGCUGGUUACCAAGGGAGGGCAGAGGAGGCAGGGCCCCGGACCCCGCGGAAAUAAAAGCGCCUCUGCAUUGAGCAAUUUCACCUAUUAUGGUUCUGUGCUAGACUGCAUCUGAGUGAAGGGAUUUUCUGGGGAAAAACAUUAGAAAUCCCCUGAGUAAAAGUCCAUAGGCCCAUGUUAGCUUUUUUUUGUUUUGUUUUGUUUUGUUUUGUUUUUUGAGAAAGAGUCUCACUCUGUUGCCCAGGCUGGAGUACAGUGGCGUGAUCUCAGCUCACUGCAAUUUCUGCCUCCCAGGUUCAAGUGAUUCUUGUGCCUCAGCCUCCCUAGUAGCUGGGAUUACAGGCGUGUGUCAUCAUACCCGGCUAAUUUUUGUAUUUUUAGUACAGACAGGGUUUCACCAUGUUGGCCAGGCUGGUCUCAAACUUCUGACCUCAAGUGAUCCACCUGCCUCAGCCUCCCAAAGUGCUAGGAUUUACAGGAGUGAGCCACCUCGCCCGGCCCCAUGUUAGCUUUUUAAAAAAUGCUUUGUUUCAUGACAAUAACUAUGACAUCCUGUGGCACAGUUUGGCCUAAGAUCCAGAAGUGUCUGAACCUCAAUACCUUAGGAAGCCCUGGGGCUGCUGGUCCCUCCCCGCGGGCUGCUCUCCUCUCCUUCGCCUCAGGUUUUCACCAGCCCCGAAUGCUGGGGCUGGGUCUUCCGUGUCCCCCCUCCCAUGCCAAAGAGGACAUCCACCCAGCAACCUCUUUCACCUCCUGGGCGGGUUUCCCAGCCACGGGCAUUCUCCCAGGUACCAAUAAUCCUGCAUAUUAGGGUAUUAGGCAGAUUACCCAAAGCAGCUCAAGCAAAUCAAGCAUAGCAUGGGCACCACCAGCUGGGGUUUUCAUGGCAAGAGUUCUGCAAAGGGAAUGGAUGGAGGAGGUGGUUACUCUGAGACUCAAGGACCAGAGAAAUAGGGCAACAGGGGACCCAGGUCUUUCCUAGAGCUGGUGUCAGGAGUGGCAGAGUUCACUUCUGCCCCUGGGAAGUUGCAUAGUCCAACCUCUCCCUGGCUGCCAUCACUUCUCCUGCUCUGCACCCCGGAGACUCUGCACCAGCAGGGCUUAAGACAUUUGCACUGAUUAAUUCACCUAGCAGUUACUGUGUUUGCUAACUGUGGGCUGUACCUUUAGGGAAGGGACACACUGUCCACAGAUUCAGGCAACAGGAACUUAUAAAGAAGCUGGGACCUAACCGAUUACCCCGAGCUGUCAGAAAGCCCUGUGAGUUUACUGGGUGUCUCGGCUGGACCUACAGUGCUCCACCAUUGAGGCAUUUUUAGCCAUUGCUUUCUGGGUGCCCUGUCCAGAUUCUCACUCUUAGAAGCACCCCUGCGCUGGGUGUGAACAACUACUCUUUGGAAGUCUUCAUGGUAGAAAAAGGCCAGGUGACCUUUAACAAGUCCUUACCAUCUUGUGCCUCAGGUUUCUUUGUCUCAAAUGCAGGGAGCCAUGUAAACACUCCCCAAGGUCUGUCCAGCUCUAAACUGUCUGACCCGGAGGCCUGGAUUGUUAAGUCCCUUACUUUGCACGCACUGUCUCAGCUCUGUAACCCUGGGCAAGUCAAUCAAGCAUCAUUUCCCUCCCCCGGGAAAUGCUGCAGGACAGAUUCCUUUUCAGCUCUUCUCAGAGCCAGGUUCAAAGCUGCUCUCCCAUUCCCUGAGGACCAAGGGGGUCAACUGGUGCUCAGGAGAUCACUGAUCCCCUCUUACAUCUACUGUGUUCUGUCCUUGGUGAUUUUACACCAACUUAAUCUUCACAAGAAGCCUGCAAGAUAGGAAUGUUUUUUCUUUUUUUCUUUUUUCUUUUUCUUUUGAGACAGAGUCUCACUCUGUCGCCCAGGAUGGAGUGCAGUGAUGCAAUCUCAGCUCACUGCAGCCUCCGCCUCCCAGGUUCAAACGAUUCUCCUCCUCAGCCUCCCAGGUAGCUGGGAUUACAGGCACCCACCACCAUGCUCCAGUAAUUUUUUUUUUCCUAGUAAGAUGGGGUUUCAACAUGUUGGAUAGGCUGGUCUGGAACUCCUGACCUCAAGUGAUCUGCCCGCCUCAGCCUCCCAAAGUGCUGGGAUUACAGGCGUGAGCCACCACGCCUGGCUGCAAGGUAGGAAUGUCAUGAGGCUCAGAGAGAUUGGGUAAUUUUCCAAGAUUACCCAUCUUGUAAGUGGCAGAGCUGAAAUUUCAAUCUAGUCCAUUCUAACUCUGAAGGCCAUAUUUUUUCUCUCUAUUCCACACUGUCUUGGGAUAGGUCCAAUGUGCAAGAACAGAGAUGGAAUCUCCAUAUAAAAUUCUGUUUACUACUACUACUGAAACAACCAUCUCACAACCUAUGGCUUCUAAGUAACAAAAUCCUGUAGUACAGACAUCUAAAUUCAGUUAUAAUCCACUAUGUACGGACAGAGAGUUGGAGAAAUGGGCUAGGGGACGGGGAUCCAACCUGGGAAUACAAUGCUCAUUAGACAUUAGAUAUGUUCUCAAAUGGCCACAUAUGCUGCCUAAAAUUAGUAAGGCAACCUCCAAACUUUCAGGGCUAAUACAUACAUCCUGGCCAAUGUGCCGUAUUUGUAAAAUAACAAUCUCCUUCUCUUUCAAUUAGCUUAAUAAAAUUGGAAAAUAUAAGUGACAGUCCAGAGUCCACUAUCAGAGCCAUAGAGACUUUGAAUUGGAUUAGUAGAGUCCUCAGCCAGGAUGACCCUGGCAGGGUCCAAGACAGCCUGCUGUCCAUCAGAGACUCGGAGACUCAGCUGCCAGUCUGCAGGGCAGCCCAUCCUGCCCCAGAAGCUCAGCUCAAGACCUGCCCAGACAAGAAAACUGUGGCAGGGGCCCAGCAGGAAGGCAAAAAUUACAUUUGUUUCUCAUCAGGGCAGACUGGGAUAUGGAUAACCAAACACACAGGAAAUCCCAAACCCUCAUGUUCAUAAAAGAAUGCAGAAAUCUUCGUGCCAAGUUAACUUUUACCGGAGGGAGCCCAUUGCCAUCCUGUAGACCAGGAGGAGGAUCCAGCCCCCAAGGAGCCUCACUCUCCUCAGCAAAGGCUCCUGCAGGUAGCUCACAGGUGCUCUGUUCCCAUGGGUCCUGCAUGGCCACAGGGCAGUGCUGCCCCUGAUGUGGUACGGAAUGAAAAGCCUCAGUACAGCGCACUGUGUGUGUCAGUGGAAGACAACUGAUGAAGGGCCUCUCCCAGGAAGAACUGUCCUUUUCUUUGACAUUAUAUCGUUACUCCUUUGUUGGGUAUUAACAUGUCCUUUUAAUGAAAUGACAAUGGUG